RNAcentral lists this ribosomal RNA (253 nucleotides) under uncultured bacterium. RNAcentral's name for it is "partial 16S ribosomal RNA". It matches the Rfam family "Bacterial small subunit ribosomal RNA", at positions 524 to 776 of the family's 1533-position model. The record is from RNAcentral.
UACAGAGGUCUCAAGCGUUGUUCGGAUUCAUUGGGCGUAAAGGGUGCGUAGGCGGCGCGGUAAGUCGGGUGUGAAAUCUCGGGGCUUAACUCCGAAACUGCAUUCGAUACUGUCGGGCUUGAGUACGGAAGAGGCGAGUGGAAUUCCUGGUGUAGCGGUGAAAUGCGCAGAUAUCAGGAGGAACACCAAUUGCGAAGGCAGCUCGCUGGGACGUUACUGACGCUGAGACGCGAAAGCGUGGGGAGCAAACAGG